Molecule: ribosomal RNA, 1449 nt
Filed under: uncultured bacterium
Lineage: Bacteria
Description: bacterial SSU rRNA
Rfam family: Bacterial small subunit ribosomal RNA
Source: RNAcentral
AGAGUUUGAUCAUGGCUCAGGAUGAACGCUGGCGGCGUGCUUAACACAUGCAAGUCGAACGAACCUUCGGGUUAGUGGCGGACGGGUGAGUAACGCGUGAGAAUCUGCCCUCAGGAGGGGGAUAACGGUUGGAAACGACCGCUAAUACCCCAUAUGCCUAUUGGUGAAACGAAUUUCGCCUGAGGAUGAGCUCGCGUCUGAUUAGCUAGUUGGUGAGGUAAUGGCUCACCAAGGCUUCGAUCAGUAGCUGGUCUGAGAGGAUGAUCAGCCACACUGGGACUGAGACACGGCCCAGACUCCUACGGGAGGCAGCAGUGGGGAAUUUUCCGCAAUGGGCGAAAGCCUGACGGAGCAACGCCGCGUGAGGGACGAAGGCCUCUGGGCUGUAAACCUCUUUUCUCAAGGAAGAAGAUAUGACGGUACUUGAGGAAUAAGCCACGGCUAAUUCCGUGCCAGCAGCCGCGGUAAUACGGGAGUGGCAAGCGUUAUCCGGAAUUAUUGGGCGUAAAGCGUCCGCAGGCGGCUUUUCAAGUCUGCUGUUAAAGCGUGGAGCUUAACUCCAUCAUGGCAGUGGAAACUGAAAGGCUUGAGUAUGGUAGGGGCAGAGGGAAUUCCCGGUGUAGCGGUGAAAUGCGUAGAUAUCGGGAAGAACACCAGUGGCGAAGGCGCUCUGCUGGGCCAUUACUGACGCUCAUGGACGAAAGCCAGGGGAGCGAAAGGGAUUAGAUACCCCUGUAGUCCUGGCCGUAAACGAUGAACACUAGGUGUCGGGGGAAUCGACCCCUUCGGUGUCGUAGCUAACGCGUUAAGUGUUCCGCCUGGGGAGUACGCACGCAAGUGUGAAACUCAAAGGAAUUGACGGGGGCCCGCACAAGCGGUGGAGUAUGUGGUUUAAUUCGAUGCAACGCGAAGAACCUUACCAGGGUUUGACAUCCUGCGAACCUCUUAGAAAUUUGAGGGUGCCUUCGGGAAUGCAGUGACAGGUGGUGCAUGGCUGUCGUCAGCUCGUGUCGUGAGAUGUUGGGUUAAGUCCCGCAACGAGCGCAACCCACGUUUUUAGUUGCCAGCAUUUAGUUGGGCACUCUAGAAAGACCGCCGGUGAUAAACCGGAGGAAGGUGUGGAUGACGUCAAGUCAUCAUGCCCCUUACACCCUGGGCUACACACGUACUACAAUGCUACGGACAAAGGGCAGCAAACUCGCGAGAGCUAGCAAAUCCCAUAAACCGUGGCUCAGUUCAGAUCGUAGGCUGCAACUCGCCUACGUGAAGUAGGAAUCGCUAGUAAUCGCAGGUCAGCAUACUGCGGUGAAUACGUUCCCGGGCCUUGUACACACCGCCCGUCACACCAUGGAAGUUGGCCAUGCCCGAAGUCGUUACUCCAACCCUUGUGGAGGAGGACGCCGAAGGUGGGGCUAAUGACUGGGGUGAAGUCGUAACAAGGUAACCGUA